CCUANGGGAGGCAGCAGUGGGGAAUCUUGCACAAUGGGCGAAAGCCUGAUGCAGCGACGCCGCGUGCGGGAUGACGGCCCUCGGGUUGUAAACCGCUUUCAGCAGGGACGAAAUUGACGGUACCUGCAGAAGAAGCCCCGGCCAACUACGUGCCAGCAGCCGCGGUAAUACGUAGGGGGCGAGCGUUGUCCGGAUUUAUUGGGCGUAAAGAGCUCGUAGGCGGUUCGGUAAGCCGGAUGUGAAAUCUCCACGCUCAACGUGGAGGGGCCAUUCGGAACUGCUGUGACUAGAGUCCGGUAGAGGAGUGUGGAAUUCCCGGUGUAGCGGUGAAAUGCGCAGAGAUCGGGAGGAACACCCGUAGCGAAGGCGGCACUCUGGGCCGUGACUGACGCUGAGGAGCGAAAGCGUGGGGAGCAAACAGGAUUAGAUACCCUANUANUC
Molecule: ribosomal RNA, 441 nt
Filed under: uncultured bacterium
Lineage: Bacteria
Description: bacterial SSU rRNA
Rfam family: Bacterial small subunit ribosomal RNA
Source: RNAcentral